AUGUUCUGCUCGGGAUCCCAUCAGAGCGUGGCCCAGAGGAGCUGGUGCUGCUGCCAACCCUCAGCGGUGCCACAGCAGCCAGGCACCAAGAGACAGCGUGGCACUAUGAGCAUAUCCCAGCCCUCAGCCAUGCUGAGCAUGCAUGGAAAUAGCAGUGCUGCAUCUCCUGCUAACCCAGCGGGACAACAAGGGCUGCUUCACGGGGAGGUGACACAGAGGUGGCUGCAGAUGAGGCAGCUCGAGGAGAGAAGCCACCUGCCGAGGCCACCAGCUGUUCCUGUCCCAGAUCUGAGCCAAACUGUGGGUCCCAGGGAUGCAGCUAUUUCUGUAUUACAGAGAAGUUUUAGGAGAAGAAUCCAUUAGGGGCUCAUUUGCAGCCAUGCCCUUAGGCAGACGCAAACCUCGCUUCACUGAGAUGAUAGACUAAUCCAUCAACCUACUUCACCGCUGGCCUGUUCUGUCUGGAAACGACAUUACUGCGCACAAACACCUCACAACAGCCUGCUCCUGUCUGCUCACUGUGCAGCCUGAAGAUGCUCGAGCACUCUCGGGCCCCAGCGAAAAGCUGCACAGCUCCGUGCCCACGUGCCCCAUUGCUGUGCUAAAAGGAGAGAGGUUUCUCCAUGCGUUGAUCUGCAAACCUGAAUAUUUGGGGGAUGGAGUUUGAGCGUUGCUGGGACAAGGGAAAAAACCCAGCUGUGCCUAACCCUGGGCCUGGGACUUGUCUUCCUGUGAGGAACCAGCAACAAAGUCAGAUCCAGGCUGAAUUUCCUUCCAGCUCCCAUUUUGAUCGAUCUCUAAUCUCGUAGCGGAGACCAUUUGUGAUAAGGGAUGAGAAGAGCUUCCUGGAUCAGAUCACGAGUGCCUCCUGCACAGCACCAGGGCACGCACACGGCCAUAAACCCUUCCUGAUCCUGACAGCCUGCAGCUCGGGGCCUUCCAGAGCCAGAUGCACCUGGACAGCAGUCGUAUUUAACAGCCCUUGAUGGCUCUUUUCUGUACAUAUUUGUCUAAUGACUUUUUGAACCCUUUUCUGCCUUUGGUCUCCACAACGCACCCCGGAGUGAGCUGCAUGAUUGAAUUAGGCAUUGAAAGCUCUUCCUCCAUGAGGGGGGAGAGAGCGUUAUCUUGAAUUUCAUCCGCUUUUGGCAUCGGUCUGAACUCAAAUCUUCCUUGAAUCUCUGCAGGGAAGUGCAAGUCAUUCCUGGCCAAAGACCCAUGGCUGGCAGGGGUAGGGUGAGAUCAGAUCCAUGAAGGAGCUAUUGGGUCCCCAUGGGUCCCUGGAGACUCCCUA
This 1294-nucleotide long non-coding RNA is filed under the name Numida meleagris (helmeted guineafowl). RNAcentral describes it as "lncRNA (ENSNMEG00000006010.1)". Lineage: Eukaryota; Metazoa; Chordata; Aves; Galliformes; Numididae. The record is from RNAcentral.